AGAGGAAGGAAAGCUUGCUUUUCUGAAUCUAGUGGCGAACGGGUGAGUAACACGUAGGUAACCUGCCCAUGUGCCCGGGAUAACUUCUGGAAACGGAUGCUAAAACCGGAUAGGUAGCAGACAAGCAUUUGACUGCUAUUAAAGUGGCCUUGGCCAUGAACAUGGAUGGACCUGCGGUGCAUUAGCUGGUUGGUGAGGUAACGGCCCACCAAGGCGACGAUGCAUAGCCGGCCUGAGAGGGCGGACGGCCACAUUGGGACUGAGACACGGCCCAAACUCCUACGGGAGGCAGCAGUAGGGAAUUUUCGUCAAUGGGGGGAACCCUGAACGAGCAAUGCCGCGUGAGUGAGGAAGGUCUUCGGAUCGUAAAGCUCUGUUGUAAGAGAAAAACGGCACUCAUAGGGAAUGAUGAGUGAGUGAUGGUAUCUUACCAGAAAGUCACGGCUAACUACGUGCCAGCAGCCGCGGUAAUACGUAGGUGGCGAGCGUUAUCCGGAAUGAUUGGGCGUAAAGGGUGCGUAGGUGGCAGAUCAAGUCUGGAGUAAAAGGUAUGGGCUCAACCCGUACUGGCUCUGGAAACUGAUCAGCUAGAGAACAGAAGAGGACGGCGGAACUCCAUGUGUAG
This 625-nucleotide ribosomal RNA is filed under the name uncultured bacterium. Its description in RNAcentral is "bacterial SSU rRNA". It matches the Rfam family "Bacterial small subunit ribosomal RNA", at positions 65 to 678 of the family's 1533-position model. The record is from RNAcentral.